GAUACUAAUUUUAUCCGUGGAACACAGAGAACAAGUCGCAUGUGACGAUUGUAUUAAAUAAAUUAUUUAUUUAUUUACUUUAAUUUCUUUUUGUGAAAAUUAUUUGAAAUUUUUACUCUCUAUACAUUUAUUUCACACAUUUUGAGUUUCCAAUUACACACAAAGACACUUCUCACAUGUCACACAUUUUUUCUAUGGUUAAUGUCUUCCA
RNAcentral lists this long non-coding RNA (211 nucleotides) under Brassica napus (rape). RNAcentral describes it as "long non-coding RNA (BNAP_LNC018886)". The record is from RNAcentral. Lineage: Eukaryota; Viridiplantae; Streptophyta; Magnoliopsida; Brassicales; Brassicaceae.